CGUUGAAGGUGUGCUGUAAGGCAUGCUGGAGGUAUCAGAAGUGCGAAUGCUGACAUGAGUAACGAUAAGAGGGGUGAAAAACCUCUCCGCCGAAAGAUCAAGGUUUCCUGCCCAACGUUAAUCGGGGCAGGGUGAGUCGGCACCUAAGGCGAGGCUGAAAGGCGUAGUCGAUGGAAAAUCGGUUAAAAUUCCGAUACCGACUCUUACUGCGAUGGAGUGACGGAGAAAGCUAGGCUGGCACGGCGUUGGUUGUCCGUGUUCAAGCGUGUAGGGAGAGGACUUAGGCAAAUCCGGGUCCUCACUAUCCUGAGACGUGAUGACGAGUCAAUUCUACGGAAUUGAUGAAGUGGUUGAUGCUCUGCUUCCAGGAAAAUCUUCUAAGCUAUAGGUAAGAGUUGACCGUACUGUAAACCGACACAGGUGAUCAGGUAGAGAAUACCAAGGCGCUUGAGAGAACUUGGGUGAAGGAACUAGGCAAAAUGGUACCGUA
This 490-nucleotide ribosomal RNA is filed under the name Alexandrium margalefii. RNAcentral's name for it is "partial Bacterial large subunit ribosomal RNA". It matches the Rfam family "Bacterial large subunit ribosomal RNA", at positions 1248 to 1732 of the family's 2925-position model. The record is from RNAcentral. Lineage: Eukaryota; Dinophyceae; Gonyaulacales; Pyrocystaceae.